UUUAGUGCCCAGCAGACGCGGUUAGACUUAGGGGCCAAGCCUUUAUGAGCAAAGGGGCGUAAAGGGUGUGUAGGCCGACCGCCCCACCCCCCCCAAGGUGGUAAAUGGAAUUUUUCUGUAGCGGUAGAAUGUGCGGAUAGAAAAUAGAACCCCAAAAGCUGAAGCAAUUUACCGCGGGGCGGGAGGGGGGGCCCCCUGGGGCGCCCCCCCGGGCUACGGGCUGAAACACGAGGGUGUGGGGAACAAACAGGAUUAGAGACCCUGGUAGUCCACACUGUAAACGAUGGAGAAAAUGCGAAUGCAGCCCCGAAAGGCAGCAAUCUCCCGCCUGAGUAGUACGAUCGCAAGAUUAAAAUUCCAAAAAUUUGGCUGUUCACCGUUUCGAUUAGAGGAGCGUGUAGUUUAAUUCGAUAAACCGCGAGAUACCUUACCCAAACUUGAAUCCUUGAGGAUUCCAAGGAAUCCUUAUGGACCGGUAUUGCAUGGCCGUCGUCAGUUCGUGUAUGAAACCUUAAACGGACCCAACCCGAGGAUUAGCCGCGGAUGAAGUCAGGUCUUAUGGUCCCAAUGUUUGGGGAUAAUAUGCGCUACAUUUUCUUAUACAAUGGGAAACCUGGGAGGUGAAACCCAAAAGUGAGAGUUAUUGUAGCAGCAGCGAAGGUGGUUGGACACGGUGCUAAGUAGCAGUCAGAUGAGAAUAACCUAUGAGUCA
This 712-nucleotide ribosomal RNA is filed under the name Palythoa caribaeorum. RNAcentral describes it as "partial 12S ribosomal RNA". It matches the Rfam family "Bacterial small subunit ribosomal RNA", at positions 501 to 1341 of the family's 1533-position model. Lineage: Eukaryota; Metazoa; Cnidaria; Anthozoa; Zoantharia; Sphenopidae. The record is from RNAcentral.